UUAAGUUAUUAAGGGCGCACGGUGGAUGCCUUGGCACUAGAAGCCGAUGAAGGACGUUACUAACGACGAUAUGCUUUGGGGAGCUGUAAGUAAGCUUUGAUCCAGAGAUUUCCGAAUGGGGAAACCCAGCAUGAGUUAUGUCAUGUUAUCGAUAUGUGAAUACAUAGCAUAUCAGAAGGCACACCCGGAGAACUGAAACAUCUUAGUACCCGGAGGAAGAGAAAGAAAAUUCGAUUCCCUUAGUAGCGGCGAGCGAAACGGGAAGAGCCCAAACCAACAAGCUUGCUUGUUGGGGUUGUAGGACACUCUAUACGGAGUUACAAAGGACGACAUUAGACGAAUCAUCUGGAAAGAUGAAUCAAAGAAGGUAAUAAUCCUGUAGUCGAAAAUGUUGUCUCUCUUGAGUGGAUCCUGAGUACGACGGAGCACGUGAAAUUCCGUUGGAAUCUGGGAGGACCAUCUCUUAAGGCUAAAUACUCUCUAGUGACCGAUAGUGAACCAGUACCGUGAGGGAAAGGUGAAAAGCACCCCGGAAGGGGAGUGAAAUAGAACCUGAAACCGUGUGCUUACAAGUAGUCAGAGCCCGUUAAUGGGUGAUGGCGUGCCUUUUGUAGAAUGAACCGGCGAGUUACGAUUUGAUGCAAGGUUAAGCAGUAAAUGUGGAGCCGUAGCGAAAGCGAGUCUGAAUAGGGCGUUUAGUAUUUGGUCGUAGACCCGAAACCAGGUGAUCUACCCUUGGUCAGGUUGAAGUUCAGGUAACACUGAAUGGAGGACCGAACCGACUUACGUUGAAAAGUGAGCGGAUGAACUGAGGGUAGCGGAGAAAUUCCAAUCGAACCUGGAGAUAGCUGGUUCUCUCCGAAAUAGCUUUAGGGCUAGCCUCAAGUGAUGAUUAUUGGAGGUAGAGCACUGUUUGGACGAGGGGCCCCUCUCGGGUUACCGAAUUCAGACAAACUCCGAAUGCCAAUUAAUUUAACUUGGGAGUCAGAACAUGGGUGAUAAGGUCCGUGUUCGAAAGGGAAACAGCCCAGACCACCAGCUAAGGUCCCAAAAUAUAUGUUAAGUGGAAAAGGAUGUGGCGUUGCCCAGACAACUAGGAUGUUGGCUUAGAAGCAGCCAUCAUUUAAAGAGUGCGUAAUAGCUCACUAGUCGAGUGACACUGCGCCGAAAAUGUACCGGGGCUAAACAUAUUACCGAAGCUGUGGAUUGUCCUUUGGACAAUGGUAGGAGAGCGUUCUAAGGGCGUUGAAGCAUGAUCGUAAGGACAUGUGGAGCGCUUAGAAGUGAGAAUGCCGGUGUGAGUAGCGAAAGACGGGUGAGAAUCCCGUCCACCGAUUGACUAAGGUUUCCAGAGGAAGGCUCGUCCGCUCUGGGUUAGUCGGGUCCUAAGCUGAGGCCGACAGGCGUAGGCGAUGGAUAACAGGUUGAUAUUCCUGUACCACCUAUAAUCGUUUUAAUCGAUGGGGGGACGCAGUAGGAUAGGCGAAGCGUGCGAUUGGAUUGCACGUCUAAGCAGUAAGGCUGAGUAUUAGGCAAAUCCGGUACUCAUUAAGGCUGAGCUGUGAUGGGGAGAAGACAUUGUGUCUUCGAGUCGUUGAUUUCACACUGCCGAGAAAAGCCUCUAGAUAGAAAAUAGGUGCCCGUACCGCAAACCGACACAGGUAGUCAAGAUGAGAAUUCUAAGGUGAGCGAGCGAACUCUCGUUAAGGAACUCGGCAAAAUGACCCCGUAACUUCGGGAGAAGGGGUGCUCUUUAGGGUUAACGCCCAGAAGAGCCGCAGUGAAUAGGCCCAAGCGACUGUUUAUCAAAAACACAGGUCUCUGCUAAACCGUAAGGUGAUGUAUAGGGGCUGACGCCUGCCCGGUGCUGGAAGGUUAAGAGGAGUGGUUAGCUUCUGCGAAGCUACGAAUCGAAGCCCCAGUAAACGGCGGCCGUAACUAUAACGGUCCUAAGGUAGCGAAAUUCCUUGUCGGGUAAGUUCCGACCCGCACGAAAGGCGUAACGAUUUGGGCACUGUCUCAACGAGAGACUCGGUGAAAUCAUAGUACCUGUGAAGAUGCAGGUUACCCGCGACAGGACGGAAAGACCCCGUGGAGCUUUACUGUAGCCUGAUAUUGAAAUUCGGCACAGCUUGUACAGGAUAGGUAGGAGCCUUUGAAACGUGAGCGCUAGCUUACGUGGAGGCGCUGGUGGGAUACUACCCUAGCUGUGUUGGCUUUCUAACCCGCACCACUUAUCGUGGUGGGAGACAGUGUCAGGCGGGCAGUUUGACUGGGGCGGUCGCCUCCUAAAAGGUAACGGAGGCGCUCAAAGGUUCCCUCAGAAUGGUUGGAAAUCAUUCAUAGAGUGUAAAGGCAUAAGGGAGCUUGACUGCGAGACCUACAAGUCGAG
RNAcentral lists this ribosomal RNA (2392 nucleotides) under Staphylococcus aureus Sau 93. Its description in RNAcentral is "bacterial LSU rRNA". It matches the Rfam family "Bacterial large subunit ribosomal RNA", at positions 3 to 2393 of the family's 2925-position model. Lineage: Bacteria; Bacillati; Bacillota; Bacilli; Caryophanales; Staphylococcaceae. The record is from RNAcentral.